UACGUCAACAUCCUUAACGAAUUUAACCCGUUCUAACCUAUUAACCAUCGACUUUGAUAACCGUAAGCACGCUUUCGGCACCAGAGCAACGAUCAGAGAUCAGACAGGUAGCCCCGAAGGGUAUCCGUUGCAAUCCUCAAUCCCGAUCAUCACAUCUGCCGAAGGCUAUAACACUUCAAUCGAAAUCGAAGCUACAUUCCUCCAGCCAUUUUAUGAUAACCAAAAUUGAUGUUAACUAACCACACUGGCAAGUACACCCAAAGUACACGAAUAUGCAGGCAUGAAGGCGUUUAACUCCUCACGCUCCACAGAAUCAUGCCCAAAAGGCUGAUUACCCGCAGGUACGACUGGCUUCAAUCGUUUCCCUUUCAACAAUUUCACGUACUGUUUAACUCUCUUUUCAAAGUUCUUUUCAUCUUUCCCUCACGGUACUUGUUCGCUAUCGGUCUCUCGCCAUUAUUUAGCCUUAGGAGAAAUUUACCUCCCAUUUUAAGCUGCAAUCCCAAACAACUUGACUCUUUGAAAGCGUAUCGUAAAGCGAAUCUGAUCAACCGAACGGGAUUCUCACCCUCCGUGAUGCCUUAUCCCAAAGGACUUGGACUGAUCAGAAACACAGAAAACGCCUCUUCGAAUUACAACUCGGUCAGGUAGAACCCGACAGAUUUAAAAUUUGAGCUUGUCCCUCUUCACUCGCAGUUACUAGGGGAAUCAUUGUUAUUUUCUUUUCCUCCGCUUAUUGAUAUCG
This 745-nucleotide ribosomal RNA is filed under the name uncultured Glomus. RNAcentral's name for it is "partial 28S ribosomal RNA". The record is from RNAcentral. Lineage: Eukaryota; Fungi; Glomeromycota; Glomeromycetes; Glomerales; Glomeraceae.